AGUCGGUGAGGUAACCUUUUGGAGCCAGCCGCCUAAGGUGGGAUAGAUGAUUGGGGUGAAGUCGUAACAAGGUAGCCGUAUCGGAAGGUGCGGCUGGAUCACCUCCUUU
RNAcentral lists this ribosomal RNA (109 nucleotides) under Enterococcus faecium. Its description in RNAcentral is "partial 16S ribosomal RNA". It matches the Rfam family "Bacterial small subunit ribosomal RNA", at positions 1425 to 1533 of the family's 1533-position model. Lineage: Bacteria; Bacillati; Bacillota; Bacilli; Lactobacillales; Enterococcaceae. The record is from RNAcentral.